This 589-nucleotide ribosomal RNA is filed under the name uncultured Actinomycetes bacterium. RNAcentral's name for it is "bacterial SSU rRNA". It matches the Rfam family "Bacterial small subunit ribosomal RNA", at positions 824 to 1412 of the family's 1533-position model. Lineage: Bacteria; Bacillati; Actinomycetota; Actinomycetes. The record is from RNAcentral.
GGGUCACAUUCCACGUGAUCUGUGACGAAGGUAACACAUUAAGCACCCCGCCUGGGGAGUACGGUCGCAAGACUAAAACUCAAAGGAAUUGACGGGGGCCCGCACAAGCGGCGGAGCAUGCGGAUUAAUUCGAUGCAACGCGAAGAACCUUACCAAGGCUUGACAUAUAGAGGAAAAGCGUAGAAAUACGCUCCCCGCAAGGUCUCUAUACAGGUGGUGCAUGGUUGUCGUCAGCUCGUGUCGUGAGAUGUUGGGUUAAGUCCCGCAACGAGCGCAACCCUCGUCCUAUGUUGCCAGCACGUAAUGGUGGGAACUCAUGGGAGACUGCCGGGGUCAACUCGGAGGAAGGUGGGGAUGACGUCAAAUCAUCAUGCCCCUUAUGUCUUGGGGUUCACGCAUGCUACAAUGGCCAGUACAAAGGGCUGCGAUACCGCAAGGUGGAGCGAAUCCCAUAAAGCUGGUCUCAGUUCGGAUUGAGGUCUGCAACUCGACCUCAUGAAGUCGGAGUCGCUAGUAAUCGUAGAUCAGCAACGCUACGGUGAGUACGUUCCCGGGCCCUGUACACACCGCCCGUCAAGUCACGAAAGUC